UACGAAGGUCCCGAGCGUUAUCCGGAUUUAUUGGGUUUAAAGGGUGCGCAGGCGGAUAUGUAAGUCAGUGGUGAAAUCUCCGGGCUUAACCCGGAAACUGCCGUUGAUACUAUAUAUCUUGAAUGCUGUGGAGGUAAGCAGAAUAUGUCAUGUAGCGGUGAAAUGCUUAGAUAUGACAUAGAAUACCUAUUGCGAAGGCAGCUUACUACGCAGAUAUUGACGCUCAUGCACGAAAGCGUGGGGAUCAAACAGG
RNAcentral lists this ribosomal RNA (253 nucleotides) under uncultured bacterium. RNAcentral's name for it is "partial 16S ribosomal RNA". It matches the Rfam family "Bacterial small subunit ribosomal RNA", at positions 524 to 776 of the family's 1533-position model. The record is from RNAcentral.